AUAUUUUCUCUUUUCUUUUCCCAUUCACACUUGCUAAAACCCAACAGAAGUGUCUCUUAUGUUUCAUCCGCAAGUUUCCUUGUUGGGCCGUACUUGUGUUUUUCCUUGGCCCAAUAGAUGGAAACGUCUUCUAAUACCGCCUAGGAUAAGGAGAAAAAAGAGGAAUACGCUCGAUGAGAGACUCGUGUAUGAAUAGACAAUUGGUGAGGCAAUAACUUACUAAUGCGAUGAUUAGUAGCUGGUUCGAGAUGAUGAUCAUUAAUUUUGGGAUUGAGACACGGCUCAGACUCUUAUGGGAGGCAGCACUGGGGAAUUUUCCACAAAGAACAAAAACAUGACUGAUAAAUUCCACGUGGAGGAAGAUGGCCCACAGGUCAUGAAAUUUUUCUCACGGAAAAAAAGCAUUGAAGGUAUCUUAAGAAUUAGCAUCGACUAACUUUGUGCCAGCGGCAGUGGUGAUACAAAGAAGUCAACCUUUAUCUAAAAUUAUUGGGUGUAAAACGUCUGUAGAUGGAUUUUUAAGACUUCCAUCAACUACCACGACUCAACCUUGAACAAGCGACGAAGACUACCGAUGUGGAGUACAGUAGCAGCAGAGGAAAUUUUUGGUGGAGUGGUUAAAUGGGUAGAGAUCGUAAAGAACACCAACGGCGAAAGCACUCUGCUGGGCCGACACUGACACUGAGAGACGAAAGCUAGGGGAGCGAAUGGGAUUAGAUACCCCUAUAAUCUUAGACGUAAACGAUGGAUACUAGGCGCUGUUCAUAUCAACAUGUGCAGUGUUGUUGCUAGCACAUUAAAUAUCUCUCAUGGGGUGUAAUUUCAAAAGAAUUAAAAUCAAAGGAAUUGAUGAGGGAGUGCAAAAGCGGUGGAGCAUGUGGUUUCAUUAGAUUCGAAGUGAAGAACCUUACCAUGGCUUGACAUGUCGCGGAUACUCUUGAAAGAGAGAGGUUCCUUCGGGAAUGCGAACACAGGUGGUGCGUGGCUUUCGUCAUCUUUUGUCAUAAGGAGUUGGUUUAAGUCACAAUAAUCGCAACCCUCAUGUUUAGUUGCCAUUGUUGAGUUUGGACCAUGAAAAAAUUGCAACAUGAUAAGCCGGAGGAAGGUGAGGAUGACGUGAAGUAACUAUGCCCCUUAUGCCUUUGGCGUCACACGUGAUACAAUUUUUGAGACAAAGGGUCGAGAUCCCGCAAGGUGAGCUAACCCCAAAAACCUGUCAUCAAUUUGGAUUGCAGGUUGCAACUCGCCUGCAUGAAGCCAAAAUGUCUACUAAUCGCCUGUUAGUCAUACGACUGUGAGUUCAUUUCAAAGCCUUGUAUACACUGCCUGUCACACUAUGGGAAAUGACCAUGCCCAAAAUUGUUAUGUUAGCUACAAGGAGGGGAUGCUGAAGGCAGGGCUAGUGACUAGAGUAAAGUCAAAACAACAUAGUUUAGUGGAAGGUGCAGCUG
This 1451-nucleotide ribosomal RNA is filed under the name Solanum arcanum. RNAcentral's name for it is "bacterial SSU rRNA". It matches the Rfam family "Bacterial small subunit ribosomal RNA", at positions 173 to 1520 of the family's 1533-position model. Lineage: Eukaryota; Viridiplantae; Streptophyta; Magnoliopsida; Solanales; Solanaceae. The record is from RNAcentral.